CAUGUGAUCUUUCAAGAUGGCCGCGUACAUUCAAUAAGUGUUAACUCGAAGAAAAUGGAAGAUUUAUGCGAAACAGUUGAUAAUUACGAGGAAUCUAUUAAAAAUAUAAGAAAAAGAGAAUUUCCUCAAUUAGAAGGUGUACUUUUCAUUGCCAAUUAAAUGCUUACACUGUCCAUUAUAUGAUUGAUUAUAUCGUUUAAUUGUUUUAUUUGCAAUUUAAUAGGUCAGUGUUCUGUUGUUUUGUAAAAGAAUUACAAAAAUAGUACAGUAGCCAGUAAUCAACCACUUGUUUUCUGUAACUGAUGGGAAAAAAACCUUUAAAGACUUUAUUGCAGCCCUUUUAUCUAUUCGUGUUUUGAUGAUUACGCUUAAUUGCUUUAAGUAAGAAACCUACGUAAUGAGACCAUGCUGUUACUUUGACAAAAUAUUAAAGAGCUAUUUAUCUCAUUACUUUAGCAUCUUUACUAUCAAUAGAACCAUUGAUCUUUCCCUUUAUUGGUAGGUUAUUUUCUUUUAUUAAACGUCUCAAUGGGUGUCCUUUUUUUAUUGUUAAACCUAACAAAUAAAGUCUAAUUAACAUAUAAAAAUAUCAAUUUUCUUAUAUAACACACUAUUAACUUUCCAUAAUGUUACCUGUUGUUAAAAUAGUUAACAACGGAUUCUACUAAAUUAAUUAAAAACAAUAGCUCCUUUAUGGCCUCGUAUUUCACUACUAAUGCUUCAAUUUCGCAUCAGUAAACUUAUUAAGUGCUAAUUUAAAAAGCAAACGUUUAAAAAUAUCUAUUCAAAUUAUAAAUACGUUCAAGAAGAGAAAUAAAACAAUACAACAUUCUCGCUAAAAUCUAUUGUUAUUCAAUUUUUGAUUGAAUAGAUAAUUGAAAUUGAUUAUUAAUUUUCUUUUUAUUUUUUAUCCUCCUUCCCUCCCUUUCACACACCACCCACACACACACAUAUAUAUAUAUGUAUAUAUAUAUACUCUCUUUCUUCUCUCUCCCGUCCCUCCGCACACCCUCGGUCUACUUAAUUGCUUAAUUAUACUGUUUUAUAUAAUUACAGAUUGGCAAACAAUCUUAGGAGAAUAUUUUUUAGGCGAAAAAAAACGCAAAACAAACAAUACUUUAAAUUUUCUUCAAGAUAUUCUGCGGUUGCUAUUGAUUAAAUAUCUUGUUUGUUUUUCAAUGUACACUUUGCCAAUGAUUCCGUGAGGGAAAAUUUAUGUAAAAUUUGAUAUUAUAUAUGUUUUUAUCAUUAUAUUUGAACCUAAGAUGUUGGAUAAUUGGAAAAUAUUAAAAAAGAGUGAAACGUCUAGCUGUUAUAAUACUUAUUGCCUUAAAAAAAACAGAAAUGUAUAAAAUACAGACAACAUUUAAAUAAUUCCAUACAAAAUUUCAGACAAUCUAAUUUGCUUUUAUGUCUGCAUUGUGUCAUAUAGGCCAAAAAUCUUAUAUAGGGAAGGAGGUAGGGGAGAGGGGCAGAGAGAGGCUUACUCUUUCAAACGGAAAAAUGGAAUCAAUCUAACCGUUUUUCUUUAGCUUAAUAUAUUUUUUGUCUUAAAUCUCCAUCUUAUAUUAUAUUUGUAUACAGUUUCUAUAGAAAACUCGUAAUAAAACAUAUCUUGAUCAUGCUGGUACUACAAUCUACUCAAAGAUUCAAAUUCAAACUUUUGCGGAUAAUCUACAGCAAAAUCUCUAUUCUAAUCCGCACAGUAAACACGAAAGUGGCGUGUUUACGUACGAUCUUAUAGAAAAUGUCAGAGAAAAGGUGCUGAACUUUUUCAAGACUAAUUCCGACGAGUACACCUUGAUUUUUUCCUCCGGCGCAACAGCUUCUCUUAAAUUGGUAGGAGAAACUUUUGACUUCCAGGAUUCAUCCAUCUUCGCCUAUCAUGAGGAAUGCAGAUAAUCUUCAAUUUCAUAUAUAUAGUGUAUUACAGUUUACGCUGUAUAUAUUAUAUAUAUAUAUAUAUAUAUUAUAUAGGCUAUAAUAGUUUUCUAUUGUUGUUUUUUAGAAACUUUAAUCUUUACAUUAUUAAAAUUUUAAUAUGAAACAAAAGGUGUUUUGAACACACGUAGUAGGUUGAAAAUCUGCAUUUCUAUAGGAUUGUCAUACAUCUGCCUUGGGAAUCAGGGAAUUAAUGAAGGACAAUGUGCGAAUUGAAUGCACUAGAACAUUUGAUUUAACAGGACGAGCCGGUUGUCAUAAUUUAUUCAUGUAUACUGCUCAAAGUAAUUUCUCAGGGAAUAAGUACCCUCUGCAAUGGAUUUCGAGAUGUCGAGAUAAUGGAUUUUCUGUCCUUUUGGACGCAGCUAGUUUCUGCUCGACUUCACUCUUGGAUUUAAGUGCUUUCAAACCUGACUUUUGUGUCGUUAGUUUUUAUAAAAUUUUCGGCUUUCCUACUGGUUUAGGAGCAUUAAUUGUAAAGAACUCCUCGGAUUAUUUGCUGAAGAAACGUUACUUUGGAGGUGGUACUAUUCUAAUGGCUCUAACUGAUACGAGAUAUCACGUAGCCAAAAAGAAUUUACACGAACGCUUCGAAGACGGCAGUUUGCCUUUCACGGAAAUAUUAGCACUGCAACACGCAAUGGUAGCUUUCGAAACUUUGACAGGAGGUAUACUAAACGUUCAGAAUUAUACUUUCAAGCUUGUAAAGAAAUGUGCUGGUCGUCUGAAAUCUAUUCAACACACAAACGGAAAGAAAUUGAUAGAAAUAUAUUCGUUACACGACACUAUUAAUAAGGACACGCAAGGACCAGUUAUUGCCUUUAAUUUAUUCGACGCCUCCGGAAACGUUAUCGGAUAUAGCCGUGUCACCAAGCUGGCAAAAGUAUUCAAUAUAGAAUUUCGGACUGGAUGCUUCUGUAAUUUGGGAGCCUGUCAUUACUUUCUGAAACUUUCUGACGAUGAGGUUCUUAAGCAGUUUGAUUUGGGUCACGUGUGUGGGGACGAUAAUGAUCUCAUUAAUGAUAAACCAACGGGUGCUAUAAGAAUUUCUUUUGGCUAUAUGACUUUAUGGGAGGAUGUCGAGAGAUUCUUGAAGUUUCUAACUAACUUUGUUGACGAGAACAAGGAGACAACCCCAACUAAACACCAGGAAAGGGAAUCUUGUUCGGUGGUUAUCGAACGCAUUUGCGUCUAUCCGAUUAAAUCCUGCGCCGCCUUUGAAAUAGAUGGAAGCUGGCCAAUUCUCAAUCAAGAAUUACUAUACGAUAGACAAUGGAUGAUAAUAACAGCUAGAGGAGAUACUAUAACUCAAAAGAAACACGCAAAUUUAUGCUUAGUUAAGCCAGAAAUAGAUUUAACUUUAAAAAAAAUAACUCUGUCCUAUCCAGGAGUAGACAACUUAAUUAUCUCUUUAAAGUAACUUUUUGUGAAUUUAAACUACUAUUAAUUAAUACAAACUAAAGUAUCUUUAUUUUUAACUAUUAUCAAAAUUAAGAUAAGAAUCACUAAUGAAAAGAAACGAAAAUUUUUAUUCUCAGUUCUCAAUCUCUUCUCUCUCCCUCUCUCUCUCUCUCUCUCUUUCUCAGUUUAUCUUAUGAAAAUUCGGCACAAAAAAAUCUAUUCUUCCUACUUUUUUACUCUUGUUUUUAUUAGAUAAAUUUUUUGUCCUUAAACUUGUAAAGAAUGAAAAGAUAGUCAAAAAACUAUUCCAAAGAGUUAGGGAGAAAGGAAGGGGGAUGAACCAAUGAGAGACAUACAGAUACAGAGAGACAGAGAGAGAGAGAGAAAGAGAUAGCAAAAAUGAGUAACUGUCAUAAAAGUAUUUAAACAAAUUGUUACUUUAAAAAGGUCCGUUAAAGGACGAAUUACUAGGAAGGCGACUGUUUGUGGAAAAAUGUAAGUACAAGAGCCAUCUACAGGAAAGAAUAAGGGGAAUUCUAUUUUUGUAAAUUCAUUUUAUCAAUUCAUUUGGAUAAAUAGUUAUGAAUGUCGAGUCGAAGAAGAUUUAUUCAAUAAUUUAGUAUACUUAUAGUUGAUUAAUUGGGAAAAAAUUGUAUAUAGAAUUAACAGGAAAUGAUAGUAAUUGUCCUUUUUUCUAUUCAUCACAAAGAGUUGAGGGUAUUGAAGAAGACGAAGAAGCUAGCGAGUGGUUUAAUCAGAUAUUGGGACUGUCAGGUUGCCGCUUAAUUCGAAGAAUUCCAUGUAAAUAAGAUAAAAAUUAAGCCUUUCUACAUAAAUAUUCAACAUUGUAAGUCAUUUAAAAGAAAAUUAUCUGUAUUUUCAUAAAGUAAAUGAAGGAAAAGGCGAUUUAUUCAGUAAUCAAGAGAAAUUACUUUUGAUCUCUAGAAGUAGUGUUCAAUCGCUUCUUUCCCUGCCAAAAUUUGGUAACUAAAUUUGCACCAAUUCUAGGGUUUUCCCUAAUUGAAUUAUCUUCGACAGAUGUAAGGGAAGAGGAUCGAUUCAGAGCAAACCUAAUUGUGAGCGGUUCUCCACCCUUUCACGAAGAGUGCUGGAAGGAAAUUACGAUAGACGGGCUGAAUUUAACAGUAAGUUUCAAGAAUAGAUUAGAAAUCUCUAGAUGGUGUGGAAAUUGAAAUUGAAACCGUCUCAAAUCGGAUUGGUAGAGCAAAAAACCAAACCACAGGCAGUCAUUCAUUAGACCGUCAUGCCAUCUGUAGUUUUUUAUUUCAAUCUUACUUAGAAUCUAAUUCAAACUAAUGGAGUGUUUUUUGACUCAACUUAGAAAACAGGAGAUUGUAAACGAUG
RNAcentral lists this unclassified non-coding RNA (4707 nucleotides) under Dimorphilus gyrociliatus. RNAcentral describes it as "dgyrCDS13922". The record is from RNAcentral. Lineage: Eukaryota; Metazoa; Annelida; Polychaeta; Dinophilidae.